This 65-nucleotide transfer RNA is filed under the name Dipodomys ordii (Ord's kangaroo rat). It matches the Rfam family "tRNA". From Rfam's summary of the family: Transfer RNA (tRNA) molecules are approximately 80 nucleotides in length. Their secondary structure includes four short double-helical elements and three loops (D, anti-codon, and T loops). The record is from Rfam by way of RNAcentral. Lineage: Eukaryota; Metazoa; Chordata; Mammalia; Rodentia; Heteromyidae.
GGUGGUUCAGUGGUAGAAUGCUUGCCUUGCAUGCAUGAGGCACUGGGUUCGAUUCCUCAGCACCA